UCGCCGCGUGAGCCGCCCGCCGCGGGUCGCCACCCGUCGCGCGCCGCGGGAGCCGCCCGCCGCAGGUCGCCGCCCCGCCGGCGCGCCAUUCACCGCCCGUCGCGCCCCGCGGGAGCCGCCACAGGUCGUCGUCGCGCUGUUCGCCGCCCGCCGCCCAUACAAGAUCCAGGCAUCCAACCCUUUCUCCACGAACCCACUCCAGAUUGCUCCAUUCAUUCCGUCAGAUUGCUCCACUGAUUGUGCCUUCCUUCUGCUUCAGCCGUCACCAGGUGUGUGUUAAGGGAGGACCGGACACGCGUGUGCCAGGGAGGAGGAUACCACCACGCUCUUCGAAGAUGUGCGGAGUUGUCGUGCCUCAACGGUCACCGUAGCUGCCUUCGAGGAGGAUUUGUGCCUGCAUCUUAAUGUUCGCCAAGCCCAUUACAUCGCUGGUGCGGGACACACAACAAAACAAAUCUGAACCUCAGCGACAUAUUUGCUGGGAGAGAAGGAGGAUAAAAAGUGCAGGUCCUCUUCACAGGAUAGACCUUUUAUGUGUCAUGUCGACAAGGGUGUCUUUGAUAAGAUAUCCAAGCAGGCUGCAUGUGAGGUGAAUCAAGGAUCCCAGUCUGGAAAACUAGAUGGUGUACGGAUUCAGAGAUGAACAUGACGAACGAUAGAAGGUCGAUUUGGAUUAUUCUUGGUCCAUAACUAUCAAUUAUUCCACUGCCACACAACUGUGUUUGUGCUGGCAGGGAGAGAAGGAGAAGUAAGGUGUUGUGGGCAGGGACUGGCUGUGGGUACAAGUAAGAAGGCCAGAUAUGAGAUGGGGGAAAGGAUGCAUGCAGGAGAAGAGAACAGACUGCAA
Long non-coding RNA from Triticum aestivum (bread wheat), 847 nucleotides. RefSeq lists it as uncharacterized. Lineage: Eukaryota; Viridiplantae; Streptophyta; Magnoliopsida; Poales; Poaceae. The transcript is spliced from 5 exons. The record is from RefSeq and is a predicted model, not a curated record.